UGAGCAUGGAGGUGCGGCAAUGUUUGCAUAGUUCAGCGAAUUUCAUCAUCAAAUGCGUCAUUGGAAAACUCAUGUUCAGUUGGAAGAUGAUUUGGUUGAGCAUAUGUGGGUUCAUGUUGGCAUAUAAUAGAUGUAUUGGUCUAUUUCAUUCAAGACAAUUUAAUUUCUAUUUGGCUUGUAAACUAUGAGAUACUUUUAUUCGGUUGUGAAACUAUGACAUAUUUUUAUUUGAG
This 233-nucleotide long non-coding RNA is filed under the name Hordeum vulgare. RNAcentral's name for it is "long non-coding RNA (HVUL_LNC005025)". Lineage: Eukaryota; Viridiplantae; Streptophyta; Magnoliopsida; Poales; Poaceae. The record is from RNAcentral.